This is a non-coding RNA of Penaeus vannamei (Pacific white shrimp), 435 nucleotides long. The record is from RefSeq and is a predicted model, not a curated record. NCBI's taxonomy places the organism in Eukaryota, Metazoa, Arthropoda, Malacostraca, Decapoda, Penaeidae.
AUAAACCGCGCGGUGUGUAUGCGAGAGCCAGCGUAGGCCGUCAGUCUUUCAGCGGCGGUGAGAGCGGGUGCACGUGUCGCUCCGUUUUCUGUCGGUCGUCUUCAUAGAAAAUGUGAAACCGCUUUAUUUUCCCGGUGAAAUGUCCUAGUGUUAAUGAUUAGAAAUACAAAACAAACGCGAGAGAAAAAGAGGAAAAUUUUCGUAAUCACUGAAUAAUUCUAGAAAGAAAUAGAUGCAAAAAUAAACCGAAAAUAGAGAAAAUAAGAAAGAGAAAUAUACAAGAAGAAAAUUAUCCACAAACUCAUACCGUCCAUUAAAAUAGAAUAAGAGAGAUAAAGAAAAAAAAAUGAAAAAUAGGAAAUAAUAUAGUUAAAAACGAGAAACAAAACAAAAGGAUAAACGCAGAAAUAGUUAAAGAAGGAAAAUAUAAAAAAA